CUUAUAUUAAGAAGAAAUAAAAAGACAAGUGGAACAUGGCACAUUCUCAUGGUUUCGUUGGUGAAGAAAGUGGUGCAAUCCUAAAUGUGUGAACCUCACUCUGUAAUACAAACUCAGAAAGGAUUGAGUUGAUAUUCAGAUCAUUUCAGCUUUUCUGUUUCUUCCAUUUUCUUCUCACUGGUUUAUAUAUUAGACUUCAUCUGAAGAAGCUCCUUUUCACAUGGAAAACAAUGUCGUCAACAAUGGACAAAAGCAAAAUUUGUCUUCAUUCGAAGCUGCCAUGGAGAAGAUUUCAUCUCUUAUUACUCGCCAAAGGCGAGGGGAAAAGCCACCGAUUGCUAACAAAUUAGAAAUAAUGUCAUUGUAUCUUAAGAUACUGGGUUUGGAGGAAGGUAUAAAUAGGCUCAACAUUAUUCAUGUGGCAGGCACAAAGGGGAAGGGUUCAACAUGCAUAUUCUGUGAGGCAAUUUUAAGGGAGUGUGGCUUUCGCACUGGAGUUUUCACAUCCCCUCACCUAAUUGACGUUCGGGAACGAUUUCGUAUUGAUGGGAUGGACAUAUCUGAAGACAAAUUUUUGCAAUAUUUCUGGGAAUGUUGGAAUCAAUUGGAGGAAAACACAUCGGAGAAGCUUUCAAUGCCCCCGCUAUUUCUGUUUCUUACUAUAUUGGCAUUCAAAAUAUUUAUAUCUGAACAGGUUGAUGCUGCCAUUAUUGAAGUUGGACUUGGAGGCAAAGAAGACUCAACUAAUGUGAUAAAAAAGCCCACUGUUUGUGGCAUUACUUCUCUUGGCAUGGAUCACACUGAAAUAUUGGGAGAUACUCUUGGACAGAUAGCUUCACACAAGGCAGGGAUUUUUAAGCCUAAAGUUCCUGCCUUCACAGUACCACAACCUCCGGAAGCAAUGGAUGUUAUCCUUGAGAGAGCCAAAGAACUCAUGGUUCCCCUGGAAGUGACUGAACCUUUAGAUUGUAAACAAAUAAAGGGAUUAAAGCUUGGUUUAUCUGGUGAUCACCAAUUCUAUAAUGCUGCUCUUGCAGUCUCACUUUGUAGAUGCUGGCUUCAGAAAACUGGGAACUGGGAAAAGAAAUAUCAAAAUCAAUUUCAGGAUUCUAAUUUGCCAGAUGAAUUUAUGAGAGGCCUUUCAACUGCUCAUUUUUCUGGAAGGGCUCAGAUUGUUUAUGCCUCCACUUCAAAUUCCCACUGUUCAGAAAUUGUGUCCAAAAAUUGUGGAGAGUUGAUAUUUUAUUUGGAUGGAGCUCAUAGUCCGGAGAGCAUGGAGGCUUGUGCAAAGUGGUUCUCUAAUGCUGUAGAAAUUCCAUCAGAGUCGUCUUUUGAAGUGCAAAAGGCAGAUGGAUCUUCAGAAAAUGGUCACAUACUACACAAAGGAAAUACCUUGGGGCAGUACGAGAAAUCUUUUAAGCGGAUUCUCCUAUUCAAUUGCUUAGAUGUGAGAAAUCCCCAUAUUUUGCUUCCACGGCUGGUGAAUACAUGUGCUUCUUCAGGUAUUCAUUUCUCAAGAGCACUUUUUGUCCCAAAUAUGUCAAAAUAUAGUAAGGUUGUUUCUGGUGCAUCAGUUAUUUCUUCUGACCUCCAUGGCAUAGAUCUGUCAUGGCAAUUUAACCUCCAAAGAAUUUGGGAGAAGAUUACACACGGGAAAGAAAUAACCGUGCCAAUUGAGAAGGAUUUCAAGAUAGAUAGCAAGGAGAUCGUACCACCUCCUGAGUUUCUUAACGAUAAUGCUUCAAGUGGUGAUCAUUCUCAUAACUGUUUUGCGAGCAGUGCAGUAAUACCUUCAUUACCAUUGACAAUCAAAUGGCUGCAGGAUUGUGUCAAAGAACACCCUUCCACAAGACUUCAGGUGUCUCAUUUGUGUAUGACACCUCGUCUUGUUCAACCACUAUGUUCCUGAAAGUCAAGUUUAUUCUGUUGGGUUGGAUUUAGUAACAUUUGUUUCUUCUCUUUUCCUUGCCUUAUACAUUUCACCAUUAAUGGUGGUGAAACCCAGUGAUGUAUUAUUCUGGUUAACCACUGGUUCGUAUAAUCUGUCUUUGAAAGAUGGAGAAUGGUGCUUCCUUUUACAUUUUUUUUCUCCUUAUUCAUGGGACAGAAAAAAAGUUCUUGUCACUGGAUCACUGCAUCUUGUUGGGGAUGUGCUAAAGCUCUUGAAAAGAUGAUUUAAAUUGAAGACAUUUUGUUGUACCAAAAACUUAUCAUUCUGUCAAUCCUCCUAGCAGACAUUAUGCUCAUGUGACUGCUCAAUAGUCUGACAAUGAUUUAUUCUUUACAAUUCUGACCAAUUAUGUGCUCAAUUCUUUACACCACAACAAAAAAUGGAAACAAGAACCUUUUUAGAUA
Molecule: RNA transcript, 2355 nt
Organism: Vigna unguiculata (cowpea)
Lineage: Eukaryota; Viridiplantae; Streptophyta; Magnoliopsida; Fabales; Fabaceae
Gene: DFC
Gene name: DHFS-FPGS homolog C
Source: RefSeq, a predicted model, not a curated record